CACAUUCACUGGCAGGAACAAGUUGGGUAGGGGUGAUUGGUCAGUACAAAAGGGGUAUUCGUUUGAACUGAUUGGUUUAAGCCAAGAGGGGUGUACUUGCUGAACUACAUGGUUUCCCAACUUGUUAUCAACCACCAUAAACUACUGGGAGGGUUAUCUGGCAUCCCAGGUAUUUCCCUGUUUCAUGCUAAUUGGCUGCUAGGGGGUUGCUAUGGAUCUCCACCUAGCCUGACUGAGUCAGGGACACCUGGCGCAGCAGAUCUCUCCUGUUAUUUGUAGAUAAACAACUUAGCAGGGUGGGAAUGUGCCUAGGAGUGCUCUGUGCGUUUUUCCAAGGGCAAAGGCCAUGUCCCUUCCUUGGACAGGCUUUGCUCUGAGAUAGAGGCUGGUUUUUCAGGCUCAAGUGGCCCUCUUGCCUCAGCCUCCCAAGUGUUGGGACUGCAGACAUGCACUACCAUGCUUGGCACGAGCUCACUUUUUGACCAUUUCUCUUAUGUGAGUAUCAACACAACCAGAGCCCAUGCCUUUCAUUUACCGGCCUCAAGCCAUUCAAUUGCUUGCUAAAUGUUUCUUUUUCCUUCCAAUCUUGCCCCAAAAGCAAAUGAACACCUGGCAUCUUGGAUAUUUAUUUGAGAUCUCAGCCAUACAAAUUUCCCAAGCACUGUCUUUUCAAAUAAGUUGUGUGUCAGAACAAGAGCACAUGUUUGCCACUGACCUCAGCUCGGGGCUCCAACCUGGCAGGAGUUCUGUUUCAGGGCUUCUCACAGGUAGGGGCUAUUGCUGUGGCUUAUGCAAAAUAGGCAUUUAAAGCCUGAGUCCACACUCACAGAGUAGGAAGGAACUCCUUGCUGUGACUGUGAUGAACACCUAAUGUGAGCACUAGGAGGCCACAUCUGUGAGUCUUUAAUUAGUGCCCCCUGCAGGUUCCCCUACCAGGGCAAUAGGAGGGCACCAUUAACAACACCUGGCAGAGAUGCUCAAUUCUAACCCUAUAAGCCUUGGUUACCACCUCAAAUGUGAAACCUGCCAUGCUACUUCUUCCACAUUUACCUUGAUACUUCUUGCUGCUGGGUUUCUGGUAAAUCCUAAAACCCUAUCUAGUGGAAUGGCUGCCCCAUUGUAAACAACGCCCCUGUACCCAUGGACUGUUUUCAGAAUAUGUGCUUCUCACCUCUUUGCCAUGGCUGCAGCUACCCCAUAAUUGAAUCUUCUCACCCAUUUCCUGUUCUGUUUAUGAAGGAAUCUGAACCCCAAUGAGUGCCUGGUCUGGUGAACUGCCUUUUAAUCCUUAUAAAUCAUUUUACAAAAUGCUAGAAACAGUUUAAAAACGAUAGGCCCAGUGGUGGUUUAUUUUUGCCAAUAAGUAUUUUCUGAAAACUAAUGAGAAUUCAAA
RNAcentral lists this long non-coding RNA (1393 nucleotides) under Marmota monax (woodchuck). Lineage: Eukaryota; Metazoa; Chordata; Mammalia; Rodentia; Sciuridae. The record is from RNAcentral.